This 448-nucleotide long non-coding RNA is filed under the name Gossypium barbadense (sea-island cotton). Its description in RNAcentral is "long non-coding RNA (GBAR_LNC018347)". Lineage: Eukaryota; Viridiplantae; Streptophyta; Magnoliopsida; Malvales; Malvaceae. The record is from RNAcentral.
CAAAAAUUCCAGGAAAUUGGGAUUGGCCAAAAUAUGAAGAAGAAAAGAAAAUACCAUUCCAAGCUAUAAAUGAGGGAGUGAUGCAGAGUUAUGAUGGGCGUCUAAAUAUAGGGAAUGAAUCGGCCAUGCAAAUGCAAUUAUACGAAAGUGAUACUAUUAUUUUGCCCCUGUGUUUGCAUGCAAAAAGAUGGGGAUUGGGAAAGAACGGCAAAGCUACCACCGAAUGGGGUCCAUCUCCUUCUUCACGGGUUCUUCUAUUACCAGAUUCACGCAUGCAGUUUUGGCUCUCUUGCCCCGCUUCACUACACCACAUUUUUUAUGUUUUUCUUUUCUACAUAUAUAUAAAAGUAAGUUUAGUAUCUAUUUUUGUACCUACACUUGCAUAAACUCUUAAUUGCCCCAACACUUAUAUUUUUUUUAUUUAUAUAAGGGUGGGUUUAGAUGGGCG